Molecule: ribosomal RNA, 425 nt
Filed under: uncultured bacterium
Lineage: Bacteria
Description: partial 16S ribosomal RNA
Rfam family: Bacterial small subunit ribosomal RNA
Source: RNAcentral
GUGGGGAAUCUUGCGCAAUGGGCGAAAGCCUGACGCAGCCAUGCCGCGUGGAUGAUGAAGGUCUUAGGAUUGUAAAAUCCUUUCACCGGGGACGAUAAUGACGGUACCCGGAGAAGAAGCCCCGGCUAACUUCGUGCCAGCAGCCGCGGUAAUACGAAGGGGGCUAGCGUUGCUCGGAAUUACUGGGCGUAAAGGGCGCGUAGGCGGAUCGGUAAGUCAGGGGUGAAAUCCCAGAGCUCAACUCUGGAACUGCCCCUGAUACUGGCGAUCUUGAGUGUGAGAGAGGUAUGUGGAACUCCGAGUGUAGAGGUGAAAUUCGUAGAUAUUCGGAAGAACACCAGUGGCGAAGGCGACAUACUGGCUCAUUACUGACGCUGAGGCGCGAAAGCGUGGGGAGCAAACAGGAUUAGAAACCCGGGUAGUCC